GCCCGGGUGGCGGAAUUGGUAGACGCGCUGGUCUCAAACACCUGUGACUGUAAGGUCGUGCCGGUUCGACUCCGGCCCCGGGUA
Molecule: transfer RNA, 84 nt
Filed under: Bacteroidota bacterium
Lineage: Bacteria; Pseudomonadati; Bacteroidota
Description: Bacteroidetes bacterium (soil metagenome) tRNA-Leu
Rfam family: tRNA
About the family: Transfer RNA (tRNA) molecules are approximately 80 nucleotides in length. Their secondary structure includes four short double-helical elements and three loops (D, anti-codon, and T loops).
Source: RNAcentral